This 2501-nucleotide long non-coding RNA is filed under the name Homo sapiens (human). RNAcentral describes it as "non-protein coding MALINC1:65". The record is from RNAcentral. Lineage: Eukaryota; Metazoa; Chordata; Mammalia; Primates; Hominidae.
GGGACGCCGAGGGGAGGAGGAGGAGGCGGCUCGGAUGGCUGGCUCGGCUCUCGCUCGCUCUCCCUCCCAUGGGCAAGUCCGGCUCACACCCUGCUUCUCCCGCUCACUCACAGCCCCCUUGGCUCUCCCUCCUCCUCCUCCUUCCCCUGCGGGAUCCGCUCGCCGCCGCCGCCGCCGCCGCAGACGGCAAGUCGUGGCAGCCAGACGUCGGCGCGUAACCCGGCGCUCCGUGCGUGACUCCAGGCGACGUCAGCGCGCGCUCCGCGUUCCCCACCCCUCCUCCCAACUCCGUGGCUCGCGCCCUUCGCUCUCGCGUCCCUCCGUUUUAGCUGCCGCCGCGGCGGCCGCCGAGCGCGCUCUUUCCGCCCCCUUCUCGCGCGUGAGCGCGCCCUAUCGGCUCCUGGCGCGUCAACAUUCCGCGGGCCAGGCCUUGGGGCGCGUCUGAGGAGGGGGAUGUCUGUGGCCUCUCCGCCCACACUUCCUCCACCCACCGCCCACAGCGCCCCAGAAGGACCUAUUACUCGUUUGGCUUCUGAAGGCCGAAGCCAGGCUCUGGCGGGGAUAGAACCCUGAAGGGCCUGCGCCAGCUCCAACUUAGGGCCCUGUGCGUCGUUGCGACUUCUGCUACCACCCUAUCACGCGGCACCCCCGCCCCAACUCCGCCCGGGUCUCUGAAGAGGCAAUAGGCCUUUCAUCUCCGGGGAAAGUCUCACCUUGGCCCUCAGACACCCGCCAAGAGGGGUCGGAAGGACAGAAUUAGCAUAGAGAAGAGUGGCUAGAGCACUUUUCAGGCUCUGGCCCCAGGAAUCCUUGACAGGAAGCGUGGGGUUGCUGCCCAGCCUCCCACGCAGUGUAAUAUGUUGAAGCCGGGCCCCUUUGAGGGAAUGCGACUUCCUUGGGCCGAGGGGGAAAGGGCAGUGCCUGAUGGCUGAGAAGAAUCGCAGAGGACUAGAAAAGGUUUGAGUCUGAAAUUAUCUGGCACAGAGGAUUAAAGCUCAGAAAUAAGUGAUUGCGAAACAGUUCAACUUCCCUGUUAAUGACAACAACAACAGCAACACGCUUAUUAAUUCCUAGCUGGAGCAUCAAGCUUAUGAAGAUUUCCAAGACUUUAUUGUUGACCCUUGUUGAAGAGAACUCUACUUGGCUUCUUUCCUGGCUUUCCUAAAUUGUUCACAUACAAGAUAAACUACCGUCAUUCAGACUUACAGAAGUGAGAAGACAAGCUGAACCAAAUGUAAAAUGGUAGCAAUUUACAGAUGUCAGAACUAACAUGUGGAUGAACUUAGAGAUGGAGAAGAAAGCUGGGCUUUUCCAAAGAGUGGAUCUAUCUGAACUGGAUAGCACUAUUGAACUUUGUUGCAUAUUUUGUGGUAGCUCUAAAACUCCUCUGCUUGCUUACAUACAACCAGACACCAGUGCCUUCUGAAGCUAAUCCAGGCCAUUUUUAUAACCUAAUGCAGUAGCACUUUGCAAUUAGAUGAAGAAGAUCGGUGGGAUUUCUUUCUGUGGUGAUUAAAAUGUGUCAGGGGAAGAAAUCAAGACAAUACUCCAAGUGAAAAAUAUAAAGUCAGUUAUUUCUUUAAUAUUUUGUGUUAUAGUAAUCAUUUUUAUAUUUUGAGCAUACUUUUUCUUGUCUACUUAAAUACUCAAAAUUAAUUAUAAAAUGUAAAUGUAAGCACAAUGAGAUACCAUCUCAUCCCAGUUAAAAUGGCUUUUAUCAAAAAGAUAGGGAAUAAUGAAUACUGGUGGAAGGAUGUGGAGAAUGGGGAACCCUCGUACACUGUCAAUGAGAAUGUAAAUUAGUACAGCCACUAUGGAAAACUGUAUGGAAGUGCCUCCGAAAACAAAGUAGAACUACCAUGUGAUCCAGCAAUUACACUAGUGGGUAUAUAUUCAAAAGAAAGGAAAUCAACAUAUUAAAGAGAUAGCUGCAUUCUCAUGUUUAUUGAAGUCCUGUUGAAAUAGCCAAAAUAUGGAAUCAACCUAAGUGCCCAUCAGUGGAUGAAUGGUUAAAGAAAAUGUGAUUGAUAUGCAAUGGAAUAUUAUUCAGCCAUAAAAAAGAAUGAAAUCCUGGCGGGGCACAGUGGCUCAUGCAAGUAAUCCCAGCACUGACCUCAUGAAGACAGAGAGUAGAUUGGUGGUUACCAGAGGUUGAGAAGGGGAGAGGAGAGGAGGGAUGAAGAGAGGUUGAUUGAUGGAUAGAAAUAUACAGUUUGAUAAUGAUAAAUCAGUAGGGUGACUAUAGUUUAUAAUAACCUAUUGUAUGGUUCAAAAUAGCUAAAAGAGAAUAAUUGAAAUAACGUAAGACAAAAAUUUAAGAUGAUAGAUAUCCCAAUUACACUGAUUUGAUCUUUACAAAUUAUAUGAAUGUAUUAAAUUAUUACAUGUAUCCCCAAAAUAUGUACAAGUAUUUUGUAUCAAUAAAAAAUAAAAUUUAAGAUAAAGUAAAUGUAAUGAUUAGCUUAUAUUUCCUAGAUCGGAAAUAAAUAUUUACUUAAGUA